This 310-nucleotide long non-coding RNA is filed under the name Salmo salar (Atlantic salmon). RNAcentral describes it as "lncRNA (ENSSSAG00000099531.1)". Lineage: Eukaryota; Metazoa; Chordata; Actinopteri; Salmoniformes; Salmonidae. The record is from RNAcentral.
GUACAGAGUCAAUGUGGAGGCUAUAUACAGGGGGUACUGGUACAGAGUCAAUGUGGAGGCUAUAUACAGGGGGGUACCGGUACAGAGUCAAUGUGGAGGCUAUAUACAGGGGGGUACCGGUACAGAGUCAAUGUGGAGGCUAUAUACAGGGGGGUACCGGUACAGAGUCAAUGUGGAGGCUAUAUACAGGGGGGUACCGGUACAGAGUCAAUGUGGAGGCUAUGUACAGGGGGUACCGGUACAGAGUCAAUGUGGAGGCUAUAUACAGGGGGUACCGGUACAGAGUCAAUGUGGAGGCUAUAUACAGGGG